GAUGAAGAACGUAGCGAAAUGCGAUAAGUAAUGUGAAUUGCAGAAUUCCGUGAAUCAUCGAAUCUUUGAACGCACAUUGCGCCCGGUAGUAUUCUGCCGGGCAUGCCUGUUCGAGCGUCAUUUCAACCAUCAAGCCCCAGCGCUUGUGUUGGGGGCCUGCGGCUGCCGCAGCCCCCCAAAAGCAGUGGCGGGCUCGCUAUCACACCGAGUGCAGUAGUUCAUCUUCUCUCCGGUCUUGUGAGGCGGGUUCCGGCCGUGAAACACCCCACUACAUUCAAGGUUGACCUCGGAUCAGGUAGGAAUACCCGCUGAACUUAAGCAUAUCAAUAAGCGGAGGA
This 338-nucleotide unclassified non-coding RNA is filed under the name soil metagenome. RNAcentral's name for it is "partial contains 5.8S ribosomal RNA, internal transcribed spacer 2, and large subunit ribosomal RNA". The stretch from base 1 to 120 matches the Rfam family "5.8S ribosomal RNA", at positions 35 to 154 of the family's 154-position model. The record is from RNAcentral.